CCUCCAAUUUUUGGCAGAGACCAGGUUGUGGUCUUGCUCCCUCUGAUAUAGAAAGGCAGAAGGAAAGGGCUCCGGCCACCUCAGAGUCAAGGCUUCAGUGCCAGCGGCUUCCCAUCUAUCGGUUUUAUCCUCAAACACCAGAACACGG
Small nucleolar RNA from Fukomys damarensis (Damara mole-rat), 148 nucleotides. The record is from Ensembl. NCBI's taxonomy places the organism in Eukaryota, Metazoa, Chordata, Mammalia, Rodentia, Bathyergidae.